AAGAGCCUGGUUUUUACGCCAAGCUGAUGUUUUCAGCAGCAGUCCGCUGUGGAGAAAAUUCAAGCAGUCUUAGGGGCCUGAAGUUUUCGCUGCUUCUUACCGGAUCGACAGUGGGAAAGAAGGGUGGCAGCGUGCAGUACCUUGUGAAAUGGAGAGACUUUAUCCUCUAUGAACUUGGGAGUAUGAAGAUAUCAGAUAUCAGUGACGAUCUAUCAGGUGAUUUCAUUUCAUUUUGGGUGAAUUUAUUGAAUGUAUUCUUGCAUGAAUUUGAAAAUCUCCCUUUUGUUUGCUGUA
Molecule: long non-coding RNA, 294 nt
Organism: Sycon ciliatum
Lineage: Eukaryota; Metazoa; Porifera; Calcarea; Leucosolenida; Sycettidae
Exons: 2
Source: RefSeq, a predicted model, not a curated record